GCGUGGGUCGGCCCGCUGACACCGCGUUCAGUGGGCUGGGGGACACCGUCGCCUUCAUCCCCGCGGGCGACGGCUCGGUCCGGGAGGCUCUCGGCGCCUCCCGGACCGCA
Molecule: non-coding RNA, 110 nt
Filed under: Streptomyces albidoflavus
Lineage: Bacteria; Bacillati; Actinomycetota; Actinomycetes; Kitasatosporales; Streptomycetaceae
Description: Streptomyces RNA 4115
Rfam family: Streptomyces RNA 4115
About the family: Identified by deep sequencing of transcriptome at the end of exponential growth phase. Sequencing size consistent with notrthern blot size.
Source: RNAcentral